UUUAUAUACUCUAAGUCACUUCCCUGACAUAACGGUUUUUCAAACCUUGUCACAGUUUCACAGAUUUACACAAAGUAUUGGAAUCUUGGUGCCCCAGAACAAGAAAAUCCAGAGUGCUGAAACAGGGAUCAGUCAGUGAACGUUUCAACGUGAAAUCUGAAAGUGGUGACAAGUUGAUCUCACCAUUAAAUUUGGCUCAGAAGGCCUCCUCUGUCUGUUACCUCUGUAACGGAUCAUU
RNAcentral lists this long non-coding RNA (238 nucleotides) under Oncorhynchus kisutch (coho salmon). RNAcentral's name for it is "lncRNA (ENSOKIG00005011366.1)". The record is from RNAcentral. Lineage: Eukaryota; Metazoa; Chordata; Actinopteri; Salmoniformes; Salmonidae.